CACACGACACCCCGACGCGACCGGGGACCGGGGCGGGUGGGUGGUGGGUACCCCCGAAAGGCGCGCGGGGGUAAUAUUGAUGGGUGAAUGGGAGCAGAGCGGGUCCCAAGGGGCGGCGGGGAAGGAGAGGCGCUGGCAGCGUCGCCUGCCAUCCCACGAGAGGGUUUAUUAGUCACUAAUAAGGCGGCGUGAGUGGGGAUGGGGAAGAAAGCGAAGAGAGCGUCGCUGCUAUUGACCCAUUGUAAGGGUUGUGGUUAAUUUCUACUGAACGGAAGCCCAGCACGUACGGCGGGAGCAUUUGUACCGAUCCGAGUAAAUAAAUAUGUUUACGGUGAAGGUAGCGACUUUUGUAACACGGUGCCUUUACUACCCAGGGUUUUUCCAGUCCCUUACAUGGAGACGCUUCAGAGGGUCAGAAGCACUGCACGGGUACAGGGUGCCAGGCACGUACCUUGAGUGCAGACCCCCUCCGCAUGUUGCUGUGUGGCCGAAAGCUUUGUGAACAAGAACUGCCCAUUUCCUUGGUCUCUCUGCUGCUGCGUGCCACCGGCUCGCUGGAAGGGAUAGAGCUUGCGUGAGGAGACCUGGCUUGCUCUAAGCUAAAGAAGAAAAAGAACUCCGAAAGAAUUUGAACAAGCUGCUUCUGCAAGACAAACCGUUACAAGUGCGGGGAAUGCCACACCGGUGAAAUGACAGAUAUGGUCACACAUGCUAUUGAUGCUUGAGAUGAUGAAAGGAGUUUUACUUCACAAGACCCUGAACUUGCUACGCUCCUUGCUUUUACAAAGGGAGAAAUAGAAUUGCAUCAGAGCCACAAAAACUGCAGAUUGCUCAAAAAAGACAUAUUUUACCAAAGCACUUUCUAUGCCUAGUAGCAUAAUCUGUAGCGGUCUUACUGUUGACGGAUAUUUAUAUUCCUUCUGCAAUAGCACAACAUGAUUCUGAAUGUCGUGUGGAGCUUGACAAUAGGAUUGCGACUGAAGGAAAGAGAACUGGUUCUGAACUGUGUUCUGAAUUUCAAUCUGCGCACAAUGAACUUUCACAUGAAGGCUGAGGGGAAAUGCGAAAUAACUUGCUUUUAUUAGUUGAGUUGAAUUUUAUGGAACAUUUUUAAUCUUUUAUUGAUUAGCGAUCAGUAUCCCUGAGAUAACUCAUUUUUAAAAGAAUGUUUAAGUGAAUUUGUAGUAAUGAUGGUAGCAUAUAAUCUGCUUUUAAGGCUCCAUUCUUGGAAUAAGAAAUGUUUCUGUUUAUUCAGCAUAAUGUUUUAAAUUGAUAUAUCACAAUUUUUUAAUUCCAUUUUUAUCUCUGUCACUUGAGGUGUUCGAAAUGUGCAAUAUCUAUAUUACUUAUGUACAUUACCUUGAAAUACAUUUUAGCAUGCAGGAAAGUAUGUUUUCCAGAUAGAUGUAUUAGAUGUAUUGGUUCCAGUACCCCCAGAUACGCACCUGGCUUGCACCACUGUGGAUAAGGACCCUACUGCUUGAAAUAACUUCCUGUAUGUACCAUCUUUUCAUAUUAAACCCACUUUUAGCAAGAAUCUGUCCCUGGGAACAAACGGUGGAAGGGCUGUUAAAAUCUCCUUAUGCUGUACAAUAUCACAGUUCCUCCGGCAUAACGGCUGCUGGGAUGAGCUCGGAGCCAAAUACGGUCAGCGUAACUGAGGAGAAAACGUUUAAGCUGCUCUCACACUAAGAAACAAGGUGCUUAGAAUUUGCCCUCCAGAGUGCACAUGCACUCUUUCAUAGCCUCAUCACACAUGAGGCUCCCACCCCACCGGGAUGGUUUUUUUAUCCCAGUCUCCACUUCCUCUUCCAGGACAAGACCCAUAUGUUGAGGUCGUGCUGCUCACCCACUCACAAAUGUGAAGAGCACAGGCUUGCUACCAAGAGAACCAAAAAGGAAAAAUCAACGAGUAUGUCUCGGAGGUGGAUGCGGUGUCCUUUUCCUUUUACUACGCACCACUAGGCAGGAUCAAAAUCCAACUUGUAUUUGCCUUCUGGGAACCUGCAGUACCCAGAGCUGUCAAAGCCACAUCCUCCACUGCCUUUCUGAAAACCCUCUCUGCAGUGCAGAUGGUGGGCCAGGAAGGAAAAGGAAACCUCAUCUGCCACACAGGCCUUCAUUUUUGGAGUUGGGAAGAGCCUGAAAGCUCCUUGACGGGUUGCUUGACAGACCUCCCCACUCAGCUGAGACGCUGGCCAUGGCAAGGCUGGUAGGGCAAGAAGCACCGCAGCUGGCGCUUUCCAGAGCCACUGGUUCUGACAAAUCUGGAGAGAAACAGAUUUGUCACCUCCCUGAUUUAUUUUAGUUUAUGAUUGAAGUGAAAGACGCUGAACUGUGAGGAACUUUGUACUCAUAGUGAUGAUAAACAUCACAAGUGCACGUGAGCAUGUAUUUUAUUAGGAAACUACUGCUGUGCAUGUUCAUUCUUUGCUGACUGAUUCCUGUAGGCAAUAAACACUCUUCUAAAAUA
Long non-coding RNA from Harpia harpyja (harpy eagle), 2473 nucleotides. RefSeq lists it as uncharacterized. The transcript is spliced from 4 exons. The record is from RefSeq and is a predicted model, not a curated record. Lineage: Eukaryota; Metazoa; Chordata; Aves; Accipitriformes; Accipitridae.